RNAcentral lists this ribosomal RNA (497 nucleotides) under uncultured bacterium. RNAcentral's name for it is "partial 16S ribosomal RNA". It matches the Rfam family "Bacterial small subunit ribosomal RNA", at positions 28 to 507 of the family's 1533-position model. The record is from RNAcentral.
GAUGAACGCUGGCGGCGUGCCUAAUACAUGCAAGUCGAGCGAACGGACGAGAAGCUUGCUUCUCUGAUGUUAGCGGCGGACGGGUGAGUAACACGUGGAUAACCUAUCUAUAAGACUGGGAUAACUUCGGGAAACCGGAGCUAAUACCGGAUAAUAUUUUGAACCGCAUGGUUCAAAAGUGUAAGACGGUCUUGCUGUCACUUAUAGAUGGAUCCGCGCUGCAUUAGCUAGUUGGUAAGGUAACGGCUUACCAAGGCAACGAUGCAUAGCCGACCUGAGAGGGUGAUCGGCCACACUGGAACUGAGACACGGUCCAGACUCCUACGGGAGGCAGCAGUAGGGAAUCUUCCGCAAUGGGCGAAAGCCUGACGGAGCAACGCCGCGUGAGUGAUGAAGGUCUUCGGAUCGUAAAACUCUGUUAUUAGGGAAGAACAUAUGUGUAAGUAACUGUGCACAUCUUGACGGUACCUAAUCAGAAAGCCACGGCUAACUACGUG